This 707-nucleotide ribosomal RNA is filed under the name Enterococcus faecium. Its description in RNAcentral is "bacterial SSU rRNA". It matches the Rfam family "Bacterial small subunit ribosomal RNA", at positions 90 to 784 of the family's 1533-position model. The record is from RNAcentral. Lineage: Bacteria; Bacillati; Bacillota; Bacilli; Lactobacillales; Enterococcaceae.
GAAGAGUGGCGAACGGGUGAGUAACACGUGGGUAACCUGCCCAUCAGAAGGGGAUAACACUUGGAAACAGGUGCUAAUACCGUAUAACAAUCAAAACCGCAUGGUUUUGAUUUGAAAGGCGCUUUCGGGUGUCGCUGAUGGAUGGACCCGCGGUGCAUUAGCUAGUUGGUGAGGUAACGGCUCACCAAGGCCACGAUGCAUAGCCGACCUGAGAGGGUGAUCGGCCACAUUGGGACUGAGACACGGCCCAAACUCCUACGGGAGGCAGCAGUAGGGAAUCUUCGGCAAUGGACGAAAGUCUGACCGAGCAACGCCGCGUGAGUGAAGAAGGUUUUCGGAUCGUAAAACUCUGUUGUUAGAGAAGAACAAGGAUGAGAGUAACUGUUCAUCCCUUGACGGUAUCUAACCAGAAAGCCACGGCUAACUACGUGCCAGCAGCCGCGGUAAUACGUAGGUGGCAAGCGUUGUCCGGAUUUAUUGGGCGUAAAGCGAGCGCAGGCGGUUUCUUAAGUCUGAUGUGAAAGUCCCCGGCUCAACCGGGGAGGGUCAUUGGAAACUGGGAGACUUGAGUGCAGAAGAGGAGAGUGGAAUUCCAUGUGUAGCGGUGAAAUGCGUAGAUAUAUGGAGGAACACCAGUGGCGAAGGCGGCUCUCUGUCUGUAACUGACGCUGAGGCUCGAAAGCGUGGGGAGCAAACAGGAUUAGAUA